AACGAACGCUGGCGGCAUGCCUAACACAUGCAAGUCGAACGAGAUCUUCGGGUCUAGUGGCGCACGGGUGCGUAACGCGUGGGAAUCUGCCCUUUGGUUCGGAAUAACAGUUGGAAACGACUGCUAAUACCGGAUGAUGACGAAAGUCCAAAGAUUUAUCGCCAGAGGAUGAGCCCGCGUAGGAUUAGCUAGUUGGUGUGGUAAAGGCGCACCAAGGCGACGAUCCUUAGCUGGUCUGAGAGGAUGGUCAGCCACACUGGGACUGAGACACGGCGCAGACUCCUACGGGAGGCAGCAGUGGGGAAUAUUGGACAGUGGGCGAAAGCCUGAUGCAGCAAUGCCGCGUGAGUGAUGAAGGCCUUAGGGUUGUAAAGCUCUUUUACCCGGGAUGAUAAUGACAGUACCGGGAGAAUAAGCUCCGGCUAACUCCGUGCCAGCCGCCGCCGUAA
This 449-nucleotide ribosomal RNA is filed under the name uncultured bacterium. RNAcentral's name for it is "partial 16S ribosomal RNA". It matches the Rfam family "Bacterial small subunit ribosomal RNA", at positions 29 to 523 of the family's 1533-position model. The record is from RNAcentral.